GGGGAAUAUUGCGCAAUGGGGGGAACCCUGACGCAGCCAUGCCGCGUGAAUGAAGAAGGCCUUCGGGUUGUAAAGUUCUUUCGGUAUUGAGGAAGGUUGAUGUGUUAAUAGCACAUCAAAUUGACGUUAAAUACAGAAGAAGCACCGGCUAACUCCGUGCCAGCAGCCGCGGUAAUACGGAGGGUGCGAGCGUUAAUCGGAAUAACUGGGCGUAAAGGGCACGCAGGCGGUUAUUUAAGUGAGGUGUGAAAGCCCCGGGCUUAACCUGGGAAUUGCAUUUCAGACUGGGUAACUAGAGUACUUUAGGGAGGGGUAGAACUCCACGUGUAGCGGUGAAAUGCGUAGAGAUGUGGAGGAAUACCGAAGGCGAAGGCAGCCCCUUGGGAAUGUACUGACGCUCAUGUGCGAAAGCGUGGGGAGCAAACAGGAUUAGAUACCCUGGUAGUCCACGCUGUAAACGCUGUCGAUUUGGGGGUUGGGGUUUAACUCUGGCGCCCGUAGCUAACGUGAUAAAUCGACCGCCUGGGGAGUACGGCCGCAAGGUUA
Molecule: ribosomal RNA, 546 nt
Filed under: uncultured bacterium
Lineage: Bacteria
Description: bacterial SSU rRNA
Rfam family: Bacterial small subunit ribosomal RNA
Source: RNAcentral